GUACUCCAUCUAAAUAAGUUUUCAUAUGUAAAAAAGUCAUUUAUGGUCUAUAAAAUCGAAGUAUGCAAUUUAAAAUUUUUUUGGCUGAAAGAAUCAUAUGUCUGUAUUUUAUUUUUUUAUAGCUCCUUCAGAUCAUCGAUUAAGGGUCGUAGAUAUACAUCAAUUUCAUUAUCUGAUACUUUCAGAUCCGAAAUCAACAAUGAUAUAAAAAUAAAUGAUUUUUUCGUGCACUUCAAAGGUAGCACAUUAUAUGGUAUUAGCAUCACAAGCCACAUGCUGUAGGAAGUAUUCAAAUUGCCAAAGGAAUUAAAUCCAUCUGUCACUAGACUAAGCUGGAUAUUGCGUGGGUUGCUCGCAAAGUGCGGAUGCUUUGCAUCGAAGUCUUUUCAUAUCGUAGAGU
Molecule: long non-coding RNA, 400 nt
Filed under: Elaeis guineensis (African oil palm)
Lineage: Eukaryota; Viridiplantae; Streptophyta; Magnoliopsida; Arecales; Arecaceae
Description: long non-coding RNA (EGUI_LNC024621)
Source: RNAcentral